CAGCCGCCGCGGGAAUACGUAGGGUGCAAGCGUUGUCCGGAAUUAUUGGGCGUAAAGAGCUCGUAGGCGGUUUGUCGCGUCUGCUGUGAAAUCCCGAGGCUCAACCUCGGGCUUGCAGUGGGUACGGGCAGACUAGAGUGCGGUAGGGGAGAUUGGAAUUCCUGGUGUAGCGGUGGAAUGCGCAGAUAUCAGGAGGAACACCGAUGGCGAAGGCAGAUCUCUGGGCCGUAACUGACGCUGAGGAGCGAAAGCGUGGGGAGCGAACAGGAUUAGAUACCCGCGUAGUCCCUGUCUCUUAUAC
This 301-nucleotide ribosomal RNA is filed under the name uncultured bacterium. Its description in RNAcentral is "partial 16S ribosomal RNA". It matches the Rfam family "Bacterial small subunit ribosomal RNA", at positions 509 to 807 of the family's 1533-position model. The record is from RNAcentral.